This 22-nucleotide unclassified non-coding RNA is filed under the name Mus musculus (house mouse). RNAcentral's name for it is "oocyte_clustered_small_RNA12545". Lineage: Eukaryota; Metazoa; Chordata; Mammalia; Rodentia; Muridae. The record is from RNAcentral.
UGUGUCAGCACUGCUGGGAGAC